This 700-nucleotide non-coding RNA is filed under the name Ascaris lumbricoides (common roundworm). Lineage: Eukaryota; Metazoa; Nematoda; Chromadorea; Rhabditida; Ascarididae. The record is from RNAcentral.
UUUAAGUUUUACUUGUAAGGAUUUAAAAUUUGAUUAUGGUUUUAGGUAGUGUUAUAAUGAUGUUAUCUGUUUUGGAUUCAUUGAAUGGGCAAUAAUUUUUUACCCUGGCAUUUUGUCGUUUGUAUAAAUUUUGUUCCAGAAUAAUCGGCUAUACUUUAUAAACUUGAACUCUAAUUGAUGUUAGUUUAGGGUUUUGUAAAUAUAUCUUGUUUUUUAGGGUGAAAUCGGGAAUUUUUAUUGAUAAUGCUCUAAUCUUUAAGAUUUGGUGAAUGAAUCAGAUUAGUACCUGAUUAAACAAAAAUUAAAAGAGCAGGAGUAAAGUUGUAUUUAAACUGUAAGAAUAUUGGCAGGUUUUUAAAUUAUCUUUGGAGGUUGAGUAGUAAUUGAGAGCCCUCAUUAACAACUUUUACUGUAGGCGCAUGUAUGAUCGUUUAUUUUAUUCUUAAGGAUUGUAAUUUUAGAUUAACUAUUUUCUGUAAAAAUAGAUAAAUACUUGGUAUAUGUAAAAGAUUUAAUUUGACCUACAAUAUGUUAUCUUGUGGAUACUUUUUUAGUAGAAGGUUGAAAAUGUAAAAGACAGUAAGUUUUUUUUUAUAUAAAGCUGAAGUUUAUUUAAAAACGGUACAAAUCAUCCAUCAAUUGCCUUCAGGGGAGUAAGUUGUAGUAAAGUAGAGCUAGGGGAACCUGGCUCUAGUAAUUA